Molecule: ribosomal RNA, 366 nt
Filed under: Triticum aestivum (bread wheat)
Lineage: Eukaryota; Viridiplantae; Streptophyta; Magnoliopsida; Poales; Poaceae
Description: partial small subunit ribosomal RNA
Source: RNAcentral
CCAUGGAAGCAGGUUUUAGCCAUGGUGGUGGGGCUUCAGCAAGUUCUUGUUGGGGUAAAAAUGGAGCAUGGAGUAAACUAAGAGAUGAGCUAUAUUUGGCAAGGAAGGUGGCCUCACUUUGCUUUUGCCAGAUCUAGUUUGCAUCUUAGGAUAAGAGCAUCAUGUUAAUAGCGAACGUAACAAGCUGCACCAUCAAUUUGGACAAGGUAUGCAUACACAAGAUCAGAGAGGGAGUUAGUAGAGAAAGCGCAUAAACAAGAUCACGACCAACAACAAGCAGAAGUUGGCCAAAACAGCAUCACUCUCCGAACGAGACUCCAAAGAGGGCACGCUUGUAUGCUCUGCUGCCAAGUGCCAACUUGAUCG